RNAcentral lists this ribosomal RNA (138 nucleotides) under Escherichia coli. RNAcentral describes it as "partial 16S ribosomal RNA". It matches the Rfam family "Bacterial small subunit ribosomal RNA", at positions 1 to 130 of the family's 1533-position model. The record is from RNAcentral. Lineage: Bacteria; Pseudomonadati; Pseudomonadota; Gammaproteobacteria; Enterobacterales; Enterobacteriaceae.
UUAAAUUGAAGAGUUUGAUCAUGGCUCAGAUUGAACGCUGGCGGCAGGCCUAACACAUGCAAGUCGAACGGUAACAGGGAACAGCUUGCUGUUUCGCUGACGAGUGGCGGACGGGUGAGUAAUGUCUGGGAAACUGCC